This 497-nucleotide ribosomal RNA is filed under the name uncultured bacterium. RNAcentral's name for it is "partial 16S ribosomal RNA". It matches the Rfam family "Bacterial small subunit ribosomal RNA", at positions 28 to 507 of the family's 1533-position model. The record is from RNAcentral.
GAUGAACGCUGGCGGCGUGCCUAAUACAUGCAAGUCGAGCGAACAGACGAGGAGCUUGCUCCUCUGACGUUAGCGGCGGACGGGUGAGUAACACGUGGAUAACCUACCUAUAAGACUGGGAUAACUUCGGGAAACCGGAGCUAAUACCGGAUAAUAUAUUGAACCGCAUGGUUCAAUAGUGAAAGACGGUUUUGCUGUCACUUAUAGAUGGAUCCGCGCCGCAUUAGCUAGUUGGUAAGGUAACGGCUUACCAAGGCAACAAUGCGUAGCCGACCUGAGAGGGUGAUCGGCCACACUGGAACUGAGACACGGUCCAGACUCCUACGGGAGGCAGCAGUAGGGAAUCUUCCGCAAUGGGCGAAAGCUUGACGGAGCAACGCCGCGUGAGUGAUGAAGGUCUUCGGAUCGUAAAACUCUGUUAUUAGGGAAGAACAAAUGUGUAAGUAACUAUGCACGUCUUGACGGUACCUAAUCAGAAAGCCACGGCUAACUACGUG